This 468-nucleotide ribosomal RNA is filed under the name uncultured bacterium. RNAcentral's name for it is "partial 16S ribosomal RNA". It matches the Rfam family "Bacterial small subunit ribosomal RNA", at positions 28 to 507 of the family's 1533-position model. The record is from RNAcentral.
GACGAACGCUGGCGGCGUGCUUAACACAUGCAAGUCGAACGGUAAGGCCCUGCUUUUGUGGGGUGCUCGAGUGGCGAACGGGUGAGUAACACGUGAGUAACCUGCUCCUUACUUUGGGAUAACUUCAGGUAACUGCGGCUAAUACCGGAUCGUAGCUUCUGCUGCACGGUGGGGGUUGGAAUGUUUCGGCGUUUGGGGAUGGACUCUCGGCUUAUCAGCUUGUUGGUGGGGUGGUGGCUUACCACGUCUUUGACGGGUAGCCGGCGUGGGAGGGUGACCGGCCACCUUGGUACUGAGAGACGGCCCAGACUCCUACGGGAGGCAACAGUGGGGAAUAUGGCGCAGUGAGCGGAAGCCUAAUGAAGCAACGCCGGGUGCGGGAUGACGGCCUUCGGGUUGUAAACCGCUUUCGCCUGUGACGAAGCGUGAGUGACGGUAAUGGGUAAAGAAGCACCGGCUAACUACGUG